UACGAAGGGGGCUAGCGUUGCUCGGAAUCACUGGGCGUAAAGCGCACGUAGGCGGAUUGCUAAGUCAGGGGUGAAAUCCUGGAGCUCAACUCCAGAACUGCCUUUGAUACUGGCGACCUUGAGUCCGGGAGAGGUGAGUGGAACUGCGAGUGUAGAGGUGAAAUUCGUAGAUAUUCGCAAGAACACCAGUGGCGAAGGCGGCUCACUGGCCCGGUUCUGACGCUGAGGUGCGAAAGCGUGGGGAGCAAACAGG
This 253-nucleotide ribosomal RNA is filed under the name uncultured bacterium. Its description in RNAcentral is "partial 16S ribosomal RNA". It matches the Rfam family "Bacterial small subunit ribosomal RNA", at positions 524 to 776 of the family's 1533-position model. The record is from RNAcentral.